RNAcentral lists this ribosomal RNA (617 nucleotides) under Aureobasidium pullulans. RNAcentral describes it as "eukaryotic LSU rRNA". It matches the Rfam family "Eukaryotic large subunit ribosomal RNA", at positions 38 to 667 of the family's 3401-position model. Lineage: Eukaryota; Fungi; Ascomycota; Dothideomycetes; Dothideales; Saccotheciaceae. The record is from RNAcentral.
GCAUAUCAAUAAGCGGAGGAAAAGAAACCAACAGGGAUUGCCCUAGUAACGGCGAGUGAAGCUGGCAUACAGCAUCAAAUUUGAAAGCUGGCCUUCGGGUCCGCAUUGUAAUUUGUAGAGGAUGCUUUGGGUGAAACGCCAGUCUAAGUUCCUUGGAACAGGACGUCAUAGAGGGUGAGAAUCCCGUAUGUGACUGGAAAUGUUAACCUAUGUAAAGCUCCUUCGACGAGUCGAGUUGUUUGGGAAUGCAGCUCUAAAUGGGAGGUAAAUUUCUUCUAAAGCUAAAUAUUGGCGAGAGACCGAUAGCGCACAAGUAGAGUGAUCGAAAGAUGAAAAGCACUUUGGAAAGAGAGUUAAAAAGCACGUGAAAUUGUUGAAAGGGAAGCGCUUGCAAUCAGACUUGUUUAAACUGUUCGGCCGGUCUUCUGACCGGUUUACUCAGUUUGGACAGGCCAGCAUCAGUUUCGGCGGCCGGAUAAAGGCUCUGGGAAUGUGGCCUUCACUUCGGUGAAGGUGUUAUAGCCCGGGGUGUAAUACGGCCAGCCGGGACUGAGGUCCGCGCUUCGGCUAGGAUGCUGGCGUAAUGGUUGUAAGCGACCCGUCUUGAAACACGGACC